AACCACGGUCUCUUGGUAGAGUGUAUCAACUAUUUUGGCAUUACGAAAUGUAUAAAUCACACAAAAGCAUGCAAAAUAAUCAAACAAAACAAAACAAUCCGAAAUGUAAAGUCCUGUCCAAUUAUUACAACCCAAAAUAAAAAAAGACUAAAAGUAAACCUACGCUAAUCCUAAACUGAUGCUCUACCCGCCGCCUCGGGCCUUCACCACG
Molecule: long non-coding RNA, 211 nt
Filed under: Capsicum annuum
Lineage: Eukaryota; Viridiplantae; Streptophyta; Magnoliopsida; Solanales; Solanaceae
Description: long non-coding RNA (CANN_LNC002374)
Source: RNAcentral